GGGGCUGCCCCGGUUUCGACGUGGGUUCGGAAUCGGCGUGGUGCAUGUCGAGCUUGAGUGACGCUCGUAAAUCUCCAUUCAAAAAACUAACUGCAAACGACGAACGUUUCGCACUCGCCGCUUAAAUACCGGUGAGCUUUGCAACAGCACGCUGAUGGGCUGGGCAAGGGGGUAGCAAUACCUCCCGGCUGCAAAGGAAUUCACAUCAGCUGGUCGUGCACCGGGCUCCUUGGUGCAUGGCGAGAUCCAAGGGAGCUGGCUUUCACUGAAGCGUGCGCCUGCGCGUCUUUGAAGGCGAGACUCAAAUCAGAACGCUAAACAUGUAGAUCUGCCCGAAGAAGGCUUGCGGACGCGGGUUCAAUUCCCGCCAGCUCCACCA
This 379-nucleotide transfer-messenger RNA is filed under the name Burkholderiaceae bacterium. It matches the Rfam family "transfer-messenger RNA". From Rfam's summary of the family: Bacterial tmRNA, also known as 10Sa RNA or SsrA, is named for its dual tRNA and mRNA-like properties. Its role is to liberate the mRNA from a stalled ribosome. Lineage: Bacteria; Pseudomonadati; Pseudomonadota; Betaproteobacteria; Burkholderiales; Burkholderiaceae. The record is from RNAcentral.